Long non-coding RNA from Ostrea edulis (European flat oyster), 608 nucleotides. RefSeq lists it as uncharacterized. The record is from RefSeq and is a predicted model, not a curated record. NCBI's taxonomy places the organism in Eukaryota, Metazoa, Mollusca, Bivalvia, Ostreida, Ostreidae. The transcript has 2 exons.
CAUCCGUGGUGUGAUUUGGUCGCGAUCAGCGAUGGAGAAACUGGCGUCGGUCUAGCUUACUAAGUUGAAAACGCAAUUGUUGAUCACAGAUUUCGACAGAAAUUCAAAGGAUCUGAGAGAAUUGAUGGUGGAUAUGAUGGGUCAAGUUAACGUUAAGCUCUUAGUCAGGUUUUUGGAAAGAAACAACGGUAUGUUCAUCGUUAGGACUCGCGGUUGUAGCCAUGCAGGAGACGAUUCAAGACAGUAGGAUAGAUUUAGAGCAAGUGCAGGAUUUUAAUGAAGACUCGCACCGGUACCCUGACAUGAACAUGUAAAUUUUUCGAGCCUCGAAACCAGCCUCGCUUAUAAUCAUGCCGAGUCAUAGCCGUGAUGGAAGUUGCCAGGAAACAACAGGUUAACUUAUCAUCAUGAAGUAAAUACAUGUAGGCUUAUAACUUUGCCUACAUGUUCAUAGAACUUUAUUUUAUAAAUUCGCCAUGCAGAAGUUGCAGACGUAUUUAAAACUGUAUAAAAUGAAACAACAGAACGAUAUACAUGUAUGUUUAAUGUUUCUCUUUUAAAAAUUUAUGAAAUUCUUGUUUGUUUACAAAAUAAACUAUAAAUAUCCU